CGGAGGGUGCAAGCGUUGCUCGGAAUCACUGGGCGUAAAGAGCGUGUAGGCGGUUUCGUAUGUCUGACGUGAAAGCCCCGGGCUCACCCCGGGAAGUGCGUUGGAAACUGCGAGACUAGAGUCCCGGAGAGGAAGGUGGAAUUCCAGGUGUAGCGGUGAAAUGCGUAGAUAUCUGGAAGAACACCGGUGGCGAAGGCGGCCUUCUGGACGGUGACUGACGCUGAGACGCGAAAGCGUGGGGAGCAAACAGGAUUAGAUACCCUGGUAGUCCACGCCAUAAACGAUGGGAACUAGGUGUCGCGGGUAUUGACCCCUGCGGUGCCGCAGCUAACGCAUUAAGUUCCCCGCCUGGGGACUACGGCCGCAAGGUUA
This 372-nucleotide ribosomal RNA is filed under the name uncultured organism. RNAcentral's name for it is "bacterial SSU rRNA". It matches the Rfam family "Bacterial small subunit ribosomal RNA", at positions 526 to 896 of the family's 1533-position model. The record is from RNAcentral.